RNAcentral lists this ribosomal RNA (113 nucleotides) under Pogona vitticeps (central bearded dragon). Lineage: Eukaryota; Metazoa; Chordata; Lepidosauria; Squamata; Agamidae. The record is from RNAcentral.
CAGAAUCCUUCCAUGGACAUAACUGAUCUGCUCUGAUUUCAGGAAGCUAAGUAGGGUUGGAUCUGGCUAAUAUUGGGAUGGGAGACCAGAAGAAUAUCAGGGAAGAAUUCUGU